AAGCAGCAAGAGAAAAGAAGACGAUUACCUACAAAUCAGCUGAUAAUUCCCAUAAGACUUCCAGCUGAUUUCUCAAAAGAAACCUUACAGGCAAGAAGGGGCUGGAAAGAAUUAUUCAAAGUCAUGAAAGGCAUUUUCCACUCUGAGGCAACACCACCCCACAGAAUCCCAGAAGUCCCAUUACUACAGGUAAGAAAAAAAUUGCACUGUAACACCACCUACUGGAAAACAAAAGAACUCUACUUAUCAACUUGUUCAAGGGUAAAGGCAACAAGUACUUUAAAGGCAGAGAAAUAAUACAUCAUGUACUAUGAACAACCAAGGAGAUGAGGUAGAUCUGAAAUAAAAUAAAAAUCUCCAGAAAGUAAACUCAAAGACAUGGAAUAUUGUGAUUUAAAUGACAGAGAAUUCAAGAUUGCUUGCUGCUGUGAAUAAAGAUACAAAAAACUUCAAGCGAUACAAGAAAACUCACAAAGUCAGUUCACUGAGCUCAGAAAUAAAAUCAACAAACAAAAUAUGUACUUUAUGAAAGAGACUGAAACUGCAAAAAGGAACCAAACAGAAUUUUUAAAGCUGAAGAACUCAAUAAAUGAGAUGACAAAUGAAUUAGAGAACUUAGGAAAAUAGAGCAGACAGGAAGGAAGAAAGAAUAGUGAUAUUCAACAUAGAAAUCUACACAUGACUCAGAUGGAAGAAGAGGGAGAAUUGAGAGUAAAAAAUAAAACAUGAAAGAUCUCUGUGAGAACUAUCUGAAUACAUUAGAAAUAGCAAUGUGAGAGUAUAGGGUAUAUCAGAAAAAGAAAAUGGAGAAUGGAAUAGAGAGCCUGUUCAAAUAAAUAAUAGAUGAAAACAUCCCAAACAUAUAGAAAGAGCUGGACCUUGUAAUAUAAGAAGUUAACAGAACCUAUAAUUAUCUCAAUUCAAAAAGACUUUCCCCAAAACUCUCAGAAUUUUAUGACAAAGAGAAUUCUCAAGGCAUCCAGGGAAAAGAAGACUGUACCAUACUAUGAAAACCCCAUUACAAUAACAUAUCAGAUUUUUUUUUCAAGAGAAACUAAACAGUACAGGAGAGAGGGGAAUGAAAUAUUCAAAAUAUUGAAAGGAAGAACUUACCAGCUAAGAAUAAUAUAUCCAACAGUAUUAUACUUUAGAUAUGAAGAAGAAAUAAAGGCUUUCCCAGAUUUAAAAAAGAAAAGAAAAGAAAUUUACCAUCACAUAAUCUGUAUGAUGGAAAAUAAGGAUAUUCUUUUAUCUGAAACAAAAAGACAAAAGGAUACAAAACCGUGAGCAAGGUGACUGACAGCAACACGAAAUUGCAACCCUUGUUCAGAGUAGGACUUAACAAUAAAUAUAACACAAAGGUUAAAGUAGGUAAAGGCAUUUUUGUUUUCAAAAAGAAAACAGCUUAUACAGUUCAGAAAUGAAUGCAUGGCAAAAAA
Phyllostomus discolor (pale spear-nosed bat) is the source of this 1439-nucleotide long non-coding RNA. RefSeq lists it as uncharacterized. The record is from RefSeq and is a predicted model, not a curated record. The transcript has 2 exons. Lineage: Eukaryota; Metazoa; Chordata; Mammalia; Chiroptera; Phyllostomidae.